Molecule: unclassified non-coding RNA, 376 nt
Filed under: uncultured Sympodiomycopsis
Lineage: Eukaryota; Fungi; Basidiomycota; Exobasidiomycetes; Microstromatales
Description: sequence contains ITS1
Rfam family: 5.8S ribosomal RNA (bases 1-105)
Source: RNAcentral
GAAACGCGAUAGGUAAUGUGAAUUGCAGAAUUCAGUGAAUCAUCGAAUCUUUGAACGCACCUUGCGCUCCUUGGUAUUCCGAGGAGCAUGCCUGUUUGAGUGUCAUGAAUACCUCAAAUCCCAAUGUUUUGUAAAAUUCAUUGUUUGGAUUUGGUUGUGGGCUUUUGCUAUUUAACUAUAGCUAGCCUAAAAGAGAUUAGCUGGACUUUCAACUCUUAAGAUAGUUACCACUUGAUGUGAUAAAAUUACAUUGGUGGGUCAAUGACUAUAGUAAGGAUCGAGAAGUCUGCUUCGAAUCCGGCGCGAGGUUCCAUCCUCAACCCAUUUAAUUUACAUCUCUGGCCUCAAAUCAGGUAGGAUUACCCGCUGAACUUAA